GGAGAGAGAAGGGGAAGAAAGGAGGAGGUGGGGAGGAGGUGGAAGUGGAGAAAAGGAGCAGGAAUAAAGAGAGGGAGGAGACAGAGGAAGGAAAGAGGAAGGGAAGGGAGGUGGGUGGGGAAGGGAAAAGGGGAGGAAGGAAGAACAAAAAAACGGUGGAGGAGGGGGGAGGAGGGGAGGGAGGAGACAGAAGGAGGAAGAAGGAGGGGGAGGGAGGACAGGGAGGAGCCGGCCACAGUGUCUCUGUGAGAACACAGUGGAAGAACUCAAUGGCCCAACCCGAGCAGAGGGUGGCUGGCAACACCACCUUGUACCUGGGCCACCAAGCAGCAUUCUUCACAACAGCCAAAGAGGGGAAUCCACCCACAUGUCCAUAAACUGACAAAUGGACAUACAAAAUGUGGCAGAUCCAUACUAUGGAAUAUUACUCAGUCAUAAAAAAAGGAAUGAAGAACUGAUUCCUGACGUAACUCGGAUGAACCUUGAAAACAUUAUGCCCAGUGAAAGAAGCCAGCCAAAAAAGGCCACGUAUUGUCUGACUGCAUUUAUCCAGAACAGAGCUGAUUUCGACUCACAGCAACCCCGUGUGAUGGAGUGGAGCUGCCCCAUAGCGUUUCCUUGGCUGAAAUCUUUACGGGAGCAGAUCGCCAGGUCUUUCUCCUGUGCAGUUGCUAGUGCUGCUAUUUUGAUAACCCAUCUUGCUCACUGACUGAUGUAAGAGGACAGUCUUUGUUCGUCAAACCUGGAAGAUCCCCAGAGGCAUGGAAUGGGAAGUCCAAGAGCCCUGGGUCUGACCAGUCUGGCUUCAAAUCCCAGCUCUGCUAUUUCCUGACCCUGAGUAACUGGCCUCACCUCCCAGGGGCCUCAGUCCUGGGGUUAAGGAAGGAUCUGAUCAUUGCUUAAACCCAUUGUUGUCGAGUCGAUUCUGAUUCAUAGCGACCCUAUAGGACAGAGUAGAACUGCCCCAUAGUGUUUCCAAGGAGCAGCUGAUGGAUUUGAACCGCUGACCUUUCAGUUAGCAGCUGAAAGCUUUACCACUGUUGCCACCAGGGCUCCAAUCAUUGCCUAGAUAACACUAAAAAAAAAAAAAAAUUGCCGUAGAGUGGAUUCCAAUUCAUGGUAACCCCAUGUAUGUCACAGAAAAACUGCUCCACGGUUUUCAAUCGUUGAUUUUUCAAAGUAGAUCACUGGGCUGUCUUCCAAGGCACUUCUAGGCAAACUCGAACUUCCAAUCUUUCAGUUAGCAGUCCAGCAUGUUAACUGUUUGUACCACCCAAUAACUCAUUGUUCUGUUUUAUUCUUUUUUGGUUAGUUGCCAUUGAGUGGACUCUGACUCAUGGUGACCCCAUAUGUGCAGAGUAGAACUGCUCCAUGGGGUUUUCAAGACUGUGGCCUUUAAGAAGCAGAUCACCAGGCUUUUUUCUUCUGAGGUACCUCUAGGUGGGUUCGAACUGCCAACCUUUUGGCAAGUAGUUGAGCACUUAACCAUUUGGGCAACCCAGGGACUCACUAGAAAACCAAACCAAACCCACUGCUGUCAAGUUGAUUCCGACUCAUGUGACCCCAUAGGUACUCACUAAACCAAAAUCAAAAACCAAACCCGUUGCCAUCGAGUUGAUUCUGACUCAUAGCAACCCUAGACGACAGAGUAGAACUAACUGCCCUGUAGGGUUUCCAAGGAGCGGCUGGUGAAUUCAAACUGCUGACUUUUUGGUUAGCAACUGAGCUCUUAACCACUGCACCACCAGGGCUCCGCUAGAGACUCACUAACUAGGGGCCCUAAAUUAACAAUAAAAACAACAAUAACAGCAGUUAACUUUACAAAGCCUUACUACAGUCCAGGAGGGUGUCAAGCUCUUUGCCACCAACACCUCACUGAAUUUACCCUUCAUGACACGCCUGGGGGGCAUAUUCUCCUGUUAUCUACCCCAGGUUAACAGAGGCCCAAAGUAACUUGCCUAAGGGAGGACAGGUCUGGGCUGGGCUCCAGCCCAAGUUUUUUUAACAUAGGCCUUAAACCUUGCCCAAAACUUGGGCCAAGACUGUCUCUGGGUCAGGUCGCCCCUCCCACCACCAUGACAGUCAAACAACCACUUCAGUUCCUGAAAUUUUAACCACAUACUCUUCACUCUGGUUGAAUCCUCACAAACAAGCUCCAUGUGGGAAGUACUACUAUUUUACCUCUCAGCUGUAAAGUGCACGCCAGCGUGUAUCACACUGAUGGGGAGUUCACACAUUUGCUCCCCAAACCAAUACAGUCGGCCCUCUGUAUCCACAGAUUCCGUAUCCACGGGUUCCGCAUCCACAGGUUCAACCAACCUGGGAUCGAAAAUAUUUGAGAAAAAAAAAAAGAGUUCCAAAAAGCAAAACUUGAAUUUGCCACGGGAGCGCCAAGUAUCAGCUGAAUCCACACGAAUGAAGUGAUGUGCAGGCACCCCCUGCUGUAGCCUCCCGCCAUUUCACAGAUCCUCUGUCUCGCUCCAGUACUCAUUGCUUACCUUGUGUCUCGUUCAUUCACUACUUGUGUUGUAGGCACCCUUUGUAUCUGUGAAAAAAUGGCUCCUAAAAAGCAAUUAAGUGGUCAAAGCAAUCCCUCAAAGGCUAAGUCUGAGGGGGUUGAGGAGAAGAAAGGGUGCCAGGCUAGUAGGGGAUGGCUGGCUGGCUCUGAAAAGCGCAACAGCCUCAAGAACUUCAAGGUCGUGGGGAAAUCCUCAUCGGCUGAUGCCCAAGGAGCAUCAUCAUUCCCAGAAGAGCUCAAGAAACUCAAAGAAAAGAAAGCAAGUCUUCAACUAUGAUGAAACAACUACUUACAUGGCACUUACACCAUCUGAGGUAUUACAAGUACUCUAGAGAUGAUUUAAGUACACAAGAAGAUAAUGCAUAGGGUACAUGUAAAUACUAUGCCAUUUUAUAUAAAAGACUUGCGCGUCCGUGGAUUUUGGUGUCCACAGGGGGUCCUGGAAACAAUCCCCCCCGCAGAUAAUGAGGGACAACUGUACAGUCCGCCCCUUUAUCCCACUCCCUACAGUUAUAGCAUCAGAUCUAGCCAGUUCUCAUACCACCUCGUAUGUGCCAGGCUACCUUUCAUCGCUUAAAAUAUCUGUUUGCCUCGUCGUUUUUGAUCCCUCUGAAAUCCUCACGUCCUUUAGAGAUCCAAAGCAGCUUCUGAGGCUGCUUUGGGUCUCGAGGACUGAGAGUUAAUAAGCAGCCGCGACUCGGGCUCAUUCCCACCAGUGUCGCCAGCAUCCAGGAUAAGCCUGGCACUGAGAGGACACUCAAUAAAUCCUGGCUGCUGUUUGCAAGGGGUGAGAAUGGUGAAGCCUUUCUGGAAUGCAAUUUGGCAGGGCCUCCCAAAAUCUAAAUGUGCUCUCCUUUGUCUUAGCAAUUCCACUUCCAGGAAUCUGACCGGCAGAAACACUCUUGCCCAAGCGACCAAAAACGUGGAUACGAAUAUGUCAAGUCAGGUCAUUCCCCAGCUCAAAAGCUUCCCAUGGUUCCCAUCUCACUCAGAAUCAAAACCAAAGUCCUAGUUAAAGAUGCACAAUGGAAACUCUAGAGCAACAAAGAGGUAGUGCCAAUAGGCCAAUGGUGGUGAUAAAAUGGAAUGCUAAAAUAAUUAACUUAAAGGAGGCAGGAAACGAGAAAAAAGAAACAAAGAACAUAGGAAAUAAAUAGGAAAUGCAACAAAUAGGAAGAUGGAAGAUUGAAAUCUGACCACACUGAUAAUUACAUUAAACGUAAAUGGUCUAAACCACAUGACUACUUUCACAUGACUGCUGAAAAUUUUAAAUGGAGUUGGUCCAAAUUGAGAUGUGCACUGACUGUAAAACACGCCCUGGAUUUUUAAGACACUGUGAAAAAAUAAAGAUUGUAAAAUAUCUCAUUAAUCACUUUUAUACUGAUUAUACGGUCGCAAUGAUAAUGUUUUGGAUAUAAUGAUUUACAUUAAAUAUAUUAAAAUUAAUUUCUUGUUUCUUUUUACUGUGGCUACUAGAAAAUUUAAAAUAACAUACGAUAAUGUGGUUCAAAUUAUAUUUAUAUUGAACAGCACUGGUCUAAACUCUCUAGUCAUAAGGUCAUACAUUGUCAGACUAUACUUAUCUACAAGGCUACAUACUAUCUACAAGAAACACACUUUCCAUAUAAACACACUUUAAAUAUAAAGACACAUACAUGGUAACAACAAAAAACUGGAACUAAGCCUAAAUAAAUAUCCAAAGUUUGGUAGGGAAAUACAAUAUUACACUCCUCAGCUGUUAAAAAAAUAAGAUUCUGAAGAAAAAAAAAAGAUUCUAAAAUAUAGAAUAGAGCCUCAAAUUCUUAGAAAUUCAGAUUUCUUGGACCAGUUGAGACUGGAAGCCUCCACAAAACUAUUGCCCUGAUAUACUCUUUAAACCCUGAACCGAAACUAGCCCCGGAGGUCACUUUUUAGCUAAAUAACAAAUUGGCUCAUAAAAUAAUGAAUAUCGCCCAUAAGUACUGCGCUCCUUUAAAAAUCACCUAUAGAGAUCAAACAGUCAACAAUUACUUCAGAACAAAGAUGAGAAGGGAAGGUAGUGGGGAAACUAGAUUCAGGGAAAUGGAACAACCAGAACGAAAAUAACGAGAACGUUCCCACAUUGUGAAGAAGGUAACCAGUGUCACUGAACAACCGGUGUAGAAAUUGUUGAAUGGGAACGUAAACUGCGGGGUAAAACUUUACCAAAAACACAGUAAAUCAUUAAAAAUAAUAAUAAUAAAGUUCUGGGUUACUGACAUGGAAACAAUUUUAAGACAUUUGUUAAAAAAGUAAGAUGUAGAAUUCAUACAGCAGGACUGUGUGGUCAAGAGGGGAAGAUGUAUACGAAAAAGGGGUGCUGAGUGAAUGUACCCCAAAAGCUCUUGGAGGUCACCUCUAGAGAGCAAAGGAAGAGGAUACUAAAAAGACGCUCCUCGUGGUACAGGUUACUUGACAUUUUUCUGUGCAGAGUAAUUAACACUCAAUUUGCACUUAAAUUGGCAAACCCAAAAACUAAGAGUUAAGGGAUCUUAUUUUAGCCUCAGGACUGAGAGGUCUCCUUUCACUUGCAAAAUGUUUAGAGCAACUUAGAAAGAGUCAGAAAACCAAUCUACUGCCCUUGCUACUCAAAGCAAGGUCCCCUGGUGGCAUCAGCCUCACCCGGGAACUUGUGAGAAAUGCCCAACUGAAACAGAAUCUGCAUUUUAGCAGGAUCCCCAAGGAAUUUAACAGGCUCCGUAAGGAGUGUGUGUGCACAUUGAAGUCUGACAAGCAGUGACGUACUGCACAGCCCAAUCUGUCUGCCCCAGCUGUUGCCACUAGCUGCCUCGUCAAAUCGGACUCAUGGUGACCCUGCACACAACAGGAUCCGGACCACUGUGACCCACAGGGUUUCCACUGCCUGAUCAUCAGAAAAAGAUCACCAGGUCUUUCUUCCUAGUCCAUCUUAGUCUGGAAGCUCCACUAAAACCUUUUCAGCAUCACAGCAACAUGCAAGCCUCCGCUGACAAAUAGGUGGUGGCUGCACACAAGGUGCUUCAGCCAGGAAUAGAACACGGGUCUCCCGUGUGGGAGGCAAGAAUUCUAGCACUGAACCACCGCUGCUCUCUGUCUGUUCUAGGAGAUGUGGACUAAAGACUGGUUAGUACUCUUCACAGCAAUAACAGCAACAAUGGUUAUAAUAACUGCAAUUAGCACUUAUAAAGUGUUAUUACCAACCAGUACCUGAGGAUACAUUAUCUCAAUUAAACUCCAUAACAAUUCCACCAUGUAGGUAUUUUAGGUCUAAGACCCUGACCUGCAAUUCUGAACUCCAAAACUCUCCGAAAACCAUACUCUUUCUUUCCUGACUCACUUGGGGGCAAGCGUGACCUGCACUGUCUGUCUUUAUUUAUCCGUCUUAGUGUCACAGCCACAGAACUAUUAGCCACAGAACUAUUAGCUGCAGAAAUACUAGCAUAUUUGACAAUGGGGAGCUGCCCCACCUUGCUAGAAUGUUCAGAUCAUAUGGUAUAGACACUGGUCUGAAAUAUUUUGAAUUUCUAAACACAAUAAUGGUAAGUGCCAUAAA
Long non-coding RNA from Loxodonta africana (African savanna elephant), 6068 nucleotides. RefSeq lists it as uncharacterized. NCBI's taxonomy places the organism in Eukaryota, Metazoa, Chordata, Mammalia, Proboscidea, Elephantidae. The transcript has 3 exons. The record is from RefSeq and is a predicted model, not a curated record.